RNAcentral lists this small nucleolar RNA (87 nucleotides) under Clohesyomyces aquaticus. RNAcentral describes it as "A. fumigatus snoRNA Afu_300". It matches the Rfam family "A. fumigatus snoRNA Afu_300". Lineage: Eukaryota; Fungi; Ascomycota; Dothideomycetes; Pleosporales; Lindgomycetaceae. The record is from Rfam by way of RNAcentral.
UCACAUGAUGAUCUGUUGUGCUUAUGCACGCUGGAAAUUACCGACUGAGAUUUCAUCAAUGUCGAUAAACAAUGGCUGUUUCUGAUU